This 1494-nucleotide ribosomal RNA is filed under the name Staphylococcus aureus. Its description in RNAcentral is "bacterial SSU rRNA". It matches the Rfam family "Bacterial small subunit ribosomal RNA". The record is from RNAcentral. Lineage: Bacteria; Bacillati; Bacillota; Bacilli; Caryophanales; Staphylococcaceae.
AAGUCGAGCGAACGGACGAGAAGCUUGCUUCUCUGAUGUUAGCGGCGGACGGGUGAGUAACACGUGGAUAACCUACCUAUAAGACUGGGAUAACUUCGGGAAACCGGAGCUAAUACCGGAUAAUAUUUUGAACCGCAUGGUUCAAAAGUGAAAGACGGUCUUGCUGUCACUUAUAGAUGGAUCCGCGCUGCAUUAGCUAGUUGGUAAGGUAACGGCUUACCAAGGCAACGAUGCAUAGCCGACCUGAGAGGGUGAUCGGCCACACUGGAACUGAGACACGGUCCAGACUCCUACGGGAGGCAGCAGUAGGGAAUCUUCCGCAAUGGGCGAAAGCCUGACGGAGCAACGCCGCGUGAGUGAUGAAGGUCUUCGGAUCGUAAAACUCUGUUAUUAGGGAAGAACAUAUGUGUAAGUAACUGUGCACAUCUUGACGGUACCUAAUCAGAAAGCCACGGCUAACUACGUGCCAGCAGCCGCGGUAAUACGUAGGUGGCAAGCGUUAUCCGGAAUUAUUGGGCGUAAAGCGCGCGUAGGCGGUUUUUUAAGUCUGAUGUGAAAGCCCACGGCUCAACCGUGGAGGGUCAUUGGAAACUGGAAAACUUGAGUGCAGAAGAGGAAAGUGGAAUUCCAUGUGUAGCGGUGAAAUGCGCAGAGAUAUGGAGGAACACCAGUGGCGAAGGCGACUUUCUGGUCUGUAACUGACGCUGAUGUGCGAAAGCGUGGGGAUCAAACAGGAUUAGAUACCCUGGUAGUCCACGCCGUAAACGAUGAGUGCUAAGUGUUAGGGGGUUUCCGCCCCUUAGUGCUGCAGCUAACGCAUUAAGCACUCCGCCUGGGGAGUACGACCGCAAGGUUGAAACUCAAAGGAAUUGACGGGGACCCGCACAAGCGGUGGAGCAUGUGGUUUAAUUCGAAGCAACGCGAAGAACCUUACCAAAUCUUGACAUCCUUUGACAACUCUAGAGAUAGAGCUUUCCCCUUCGGGGGACAAAGUGACAGGUGGUGCAUGGUUGUCGUCAGCUCGUGUCGUGAGAUGUUGGGUUAAGUCCCGCAACGAGCGCAACCCUUAAGCUUAGUUGCCAUCAUUAAGUUGGGCACUCUAAGUUGACUGCCGGUGACAAACCGGAGGAAGGUGGGGAUGACGUCAAAUCAUCAUGCCCCUUAUGAUUUGGGCUACACACGUGCUACAAUGGACAAUACAAAGGGCAGCGAAACCGCGAGGUCAAGCAAAUCCCAUAAAGUUGUUCUCAGUUCGGAUUGUAGUCUGCAACUCGACUACAUGAAGCUGGAAUCGCUAGUAAUCGUAGAUCAGCAUGCUACGGUGAAUACGUUCCCGGGUCUUGUACACACCGCCCGUCACACCACGAGAGUUUGUAACACCCGAAGCCGGUGGAGUAACCUUUUAGGAGCUAGCCGUCGAAGGUGGGACAAAUGAUUGGGGUGAAGUCGUAACAAGGUAGCCGUAUCGGAAGGUGCGGCUGGAUCACCUCCUUU